RNAcentral lists this ribosomal RNA (496 nucleotides) under uncultured bacterium. RNAcentral's name for it is "partial 16S ribosomal RNA". It matches the Rfam family "Bacterial small subunit ribosomal RNA", at positions 29 to 507 of the family's 1533-position model. The record is from RNAcentral.
AUGAACGCUGGCGGCGUGCCUAAUACAUGCCAGUCGAGCGAACAGACGAGGAGCUUGCUCCUCUGACGUUAGCGGCGGACGGGUGAGUAACACGUGGAUAACCUACCUAUAAGACUGGGAUAACUUCGGGAAACCGGAGCUAAUACCGGAUAAUAUAUUGAACCGCAUGGUUCAAUAGUGAAAGACGGUUUUGCUGUCACUUAUAGAUGGAUCCGCGCCGCAUUAGCUAGUUGGUAAGGUAACGGCUUACCAAGGCAACGAUGCGUAGCCGACCUGAGAGGGUGAUCGGCCACACUGGAACUGAGACACGGUCCAGACUCCUACGGGAGGCAGCAGUAGGAAAUCUUCCGCAAUGGGCGAAAGCCUGACGGAGCAACGCCGCGUGAGUGAUGAAGGUCUUCGGAUCGUAAAACUCUGUUAUUAGGGAAGAACAAAUGUGUAAGUAACUAUGCACGUCUUGACGGUACCUAAUCAGAAAGCCACGGCUAACUACGUG